CAGGUUGAAGCGAGGGUAAAACCUCGUGGAGGACCGAACCACGUUGCUGUUGAAAAAGCAUGGGAUGAGCUGUGGAUAGCGGAGAAAUUCCAAUCGAACCCGGAGAUAGCUGGUUCUCUCCGAAAUAGCUUUAGGGCUAGCGUCGAGUAUGAGUAGUGGAGGUAGAGCACUGAAUGGGCUAGGGGGCAUAGCGCUUACCGAACCUUAUCAAACUCCGAAUGCCACAUACUUUGAGCUCGGCAGUCAGACUACGAAUGAUAAGAUCCGUGGUCAAAAGGGAAACAGCCCAGAUCGUCAGCUAAGGUCCCAAAGUGUAAGUUAAGUGGGAAAGGAUGUGAGAUUUCUAAGACAACUAGGAUGUUGGCUUAGAAGCAGCCAUUCAUUAAAAGAGUGCGUAAUAGCUCACUAGUCGAGAGAUCUUGCGCCGAAAAUGUAACGGGGCUAAACUUACCACCGAAGCUACGGGCUUGAACUUAUGUUCAAGCGGUAGGAGAGCGUCGUAACCGGGCUGAAGUCGUACCGUAAGGAGCGGUGGACUGGUUACGAGUGAGAAUGUUGGCAUCAGUAGCGAGAUGUGGGUGAGAAUCCCACAGGCCGAAAACCUAAGGUUUCCUCAGGAAGGUUCGUCCGCUGAGGGUUAGUCGGGACCUAAGCCGAGGCCGAAAGGCGUAGGUGAUGGACAACUGGUUGAUAUUCCAGUACCACUACCAUCGUUAUUAUCGAUGGCGUGACGCAGGAGGAUAGUGUGUGCUAGCUAUUGGAUGCUAGUCUAAGCGUUUAGGCAGUGAGAGUAGGCAAAUCCGCUCUCAUAAUGCUGAGGCGUGAUGGGGAAGGUUCCACGGAACCGAAGUACAUGAUUCCACGCUGCCAAGAAAAGCGUCUAGAGAGAGAAGUAGUGCCCGUACCGCAAACCGACACAGGUAGGUGAGGAGAGAAUCCUAAGGCCGGCGGAAGAAUUACAGUUAAGGAACUCGGCAAAUUGACCCCGUAAGUUCGCGAGAAGGGGUGCCUACGAGAGUAGGCCGCAGAGAAUAGGCCCAAGCAACUGUUUAGCAAAAACACAGGUCUCUGCUAAAGCGUAAGCUGAUGUAUAGGGGCUGACGCCUGCCCGGUGCUGGAAGGUUAAGGGGAACACUUAGCGCAAGCGAAGGU
This 1152-nucleotide ribosomal RNA is filed under the name Clostridium sp. Its description in RNAcentral is "partial 23S ribosomal RNA". It matches the Rfam family "Bacterial large subunit ribosomal RNA", at positions 741 to 1906 of the family's 2925-position model. The record is from RNAcentral. Lineage: Bacteria; Bacillati; Bacillota; Clostridia; Eubacteriales; Clostridiaceae.